Molecule: ribosomal RNA, 827 nt
Filed under: Microphallus sp. nov. 1 IBC-2010
Lineage: Eukaryota; Metazoa; Platyhelminthes; Trematoda; Plagiorchiida; Microphallidae
Description: eukaryotic LSU rRNA
Rfam family: Eukaryotic large subunit ribosomal RNA
Source: RNAcentral
UGCGUGAAACCGAUCAGAGGUAAGCGGGUGGAGUUGAACUGCAAGCUCUGAGAAUUCAGCUGGUGAGUGUGGUUUGAGCUUGGUCAAGUCGGUUGGACCUCGGAGUCUGUGUAGCAACAGGCCUUUGCCUUUCUGGGUAGAGGUGCGCGAUGCACUUAUCAAGUGUUGUGCGCUCCGGGUGUUCUUCGGGCCGACUCGCCAGUGCACUUUCUCAGAGUAGUCACCACGACCGGCACUGCUGUCUGGCUGGUGCGGUUAAACCGGUCUUGCAUUGUCCUUGUGGCUUUGCUUGGUCGGGAUGGCAGGUAGCUUGUUGGCUGGCUUGUGGUUCGCUGCAAUCGGUCUUCGAGUGUAAUCAGCUGACCGUAUCGGUUCUGUGCAGUGUGUCGGAGACGGCGGCUUUUGUGUGUGCGUGCGUGCCAGGUUGGCCGGCGUGUUCGAGUUCUGGUUGUUCCGUAGCCUGUGAAUGCAGGCCUGAUGAUGGCUCGGAUUCGUUCGGUCAACGGUUGCGUGCGUGACACUUUUCAUGGGCCAAUAGUCUGUGGUGUAGUGGUAGACUAUCCACCCGACCCGUCUUGAAACACGGACCAAGGAGAGUAACAUGUGCGCGAGUCAUUGGGCGAUACGAAACCCAUAGGCGCAGUGAAAGUGAAUGUUUGGCUUGUCCAGACUGAGGUGAGAUCCUGUCGUUUCUCAUGCGUGGUACCACCAAGCUUCGAGCGGCAGGCGCAUCACCGGCCCGUCCCAUGACGAUUGUUUUCGGACAUUACCCAGUCGGGGCGGAGCAUGAGCGUACAUGUUGAGACCCGAAAGAUGGUGAACUAUGC